Molecule: ribosomal RNA, 253 nt
Filed under: uncultured bacterium
Lineage: Bacteria
Description: partial 16S ribosomal RNA
Rfam family: Bacterial small subunit ribosomal RNA
Source: RNAcentral
UACGUAGGGGGCGAGCGUUGUCCGGAUUUAUUGGGCGUAAAGAGCGUGUAGGCGGCCAGGUAGGUCUGCUGUGAAAACUCGAGGCUCAACCUCGAGACGUCGGCGGAAACCAUCUGGCUAGAGUCCGGAAGAGGAGAGUGGAAUUCCUGGUGUAGCGGUGAAAUGCGCAGAUAUCAGGAAGAACACCCGUGGCGAAGGCGGCUCUCUGGGACGGUACUGACGCUGAGGCGCGAAAGCUAGGGGAGCAAACGGG